This 101-nucleotide ribosomal RNA is filed under the name Firmicutes bacterium AM59-13. RNAcentral describes it as "partial 23S ribosomal RNA". It matches the Rfam family "Bacterial large subunit ribosomal RNA", at positions 1 to 97 of the family's 2925-position model. Lineage: Bacteria; Bacillati; Bacillota. The record is from RNAcentral.
AUUAGGUCAAGCUAAAAAGAGCGCAGGGUGGAUGCCUUGGCACUAAGAGCCGAUGAAAGACGUGAUAAGCUGCGAUAAGCUACGGGGAGGAGCACAUAUCC